UACGGAGGGUGCAAGCGUUAUCCGGAUUCACUGGGUUUAAAGGGUGCGUAGGUGGCUUUGUAAGUCAGUGGUGAAAUACCGGAGCUCAACUCCGGAACUGCCAUUGAUACUGCUUAGCUUGAAUCAAGUCGAGGUGGAUGGAAUAUUACAUGUAGCGGUGAAAUGCUUAGAUAUGUAAUAGAACACCGAUUGCGAAGGCAGUUCACUAGGCUUGUAUUGACACUGAGGCACGAAAGCGUGGGGAUCAAACAGG
RNAcentral lists this ribosomal RNA (253 nucleotides) under uncultured bacterium. RNAcentral describes it as "partial 16S ribosomal RNA". It matches the Rfam family "Bacterial small subunit ribosomal RNA", at positions 524 to 776 of the family's 1533-position model. The record is from RNAcentral.